AAUAGAUACCCGGGUAGUCCACGCCGUAAACGAUGAAUACUAGGUGUAGGGGUUGUCAUGACCUCUGUGCCGCCGCUAACGCAUUAAGUAUUCCGCCUGGGGAGUACGGUCGCAAGAUUAAAACUCAAAGGAAUUGACGGGGGCCCGCACAAGCAGCGGAGCAUGUGGUUUAAUUCGAAGCAACGCGAAGAACCUUACCUAGACUUGACAUCUCCUGAAUUACCCUUAAUCGGGGAAGCCCUUCGGGGCAGGAAGACAGGUGGUGCAUGGUUGUCGUCAGCUCGUGUCGUGAGAUGUUGGGUUAAGUCCCGCAACGAGCGCAACCCUUAUUGUUAGUUGCUACCAUUUAAUUGAGCACUCUAGCGAGACUGCCCGGGUUAACCGGAGGAAGGUGGGGAUGACGUCAAAGUCAUCAUGCCCCUUAUGUCUAGGGCUACACACGUGCUACAAUGGCUGGUACAGAGAGAUGCUAAACCGUGAGGUGGAGCCAAACUUUAAACCAGUCUCAGUUCGGAUUGUAGGCUGAAACUCGCCUACA
RNAcentral lists this ribosomal RNA (538 nucleotides) under uncultured bacterium. RNAcentral describes it as "bacterial SSU rRNA". It matches the Rfam family "Bacterial small subunit ribosomal RNA", at positions 777 to 1320 of the family's 1533-position model. The record is from RNAcentral.